UAUAUUAAAUGUAUUUUAUUUAUUAAUAUUAAAACUGGAAGAAACCUCAACAACUAGUAAAAGAUAAAAUUGUGCUUGGAUAUUACAAUUUUUAUUAUUUUUCAUUAUAAAUAGCAUUUACACAUUUUUUAUUUGCGUUUUAAUAAUACAGUUCUAUAAACUUCACUAUGAUAUUGCAAAUACAAAAAUUACCUUCGAUUCUCUUCAGCCUUCCUUUUUUGACGUUUCAAGGUAAGUAAUAAUACUAAUUAUGACUAGAAUAUUUAGUGAUAGUAUAUAUUAGUAAUAUUUAGUGAUAGAUAUUUAGUGAUUAAACGACCCAAACGAUAUAAAUAAAGCUUUACUUCUUUAAAUAAAAAUAAUAAUAAUUGGACGGAACUUCUUAUAACGCCUUACAUUUACUAUCCAAAUUUUCUGUUACAAAAAUUCUAACAAGUCUUACAGUGUGCCGUCAAUUUUAAAAAAACUAUUAAAGUUAUAAGCGUUUUAUAUUUUGUGCACGUCACUUAUUUAAAUUUGUACUUAAUCUAUUAAAUAAAAUUCUCGUGUCGCGGUGUUUGUAGUUAAACUCCUCCGAAUCGGCUUGACCGAUUCUCAAGAAAUCUUGUGUGCAUGUUGGGUAGGCUUGAGAAUCGAACAACAUCUAUUUUUCAUACCCCUAAGUUAUAA
This 669-nucleotide unclassified non-coding RNA is filed under the name Melitaea cinxia (Glanville fritillary). RNAcentral describes it as "misc RNA ENSMCXG00005007875.1". Lineage: Eukaryota; Metazoa; Arthropoda; Insecta; Lepidoptera; Nymphalidae. The record is from RNAcentral.